AUUGAACGCUGGCGGCAGGCCUAACACAUGCAAGUCGAGCGGAUGAAGGGAGCUUGCUCCUGGAUUCAGCGGCGGACGGGUGAGUAAUGCCUAGGAAUCUGCCUUGUAGUGGGGGAUAACGUCCGUAAACGGGCGCUAAUACCGCAUCCGUCCUGAGGUAGAACGUGGGGGAUCUUCGGACCUCACGCUAUCAGAUGAGCCUAGGUCGGAUUAGCUAGUUGGUGGGGUAAAGGCCUACCAAGGCGACGAUCCGUAACUGGUCUGAGAGGAUGAUCAGUCACACUGGAACUGAGACACGGUCCAGACUCCUACGGGAGGCAGCAGUGGGGAAUAUUGGACAAUGGGCGAAAGCCUGAUCGAGCCAUGCCGCGUGUGUGAAGAAGGUCUUCGGAUUGUAAAGCACUUUAAGUUGGGAGGAAGGGCAGUAAGUUAAUACCUUGCUGUUUUGACGGUACCAACAGAAUAAGCAACGGCUAACUUCGUG
RNAcentral lists this ribosomal RNA (484 nucleotides) under uncultured bacterium. RNAcentral's name for it is "partial 16S ribosomal RNA". It matches the Rfam family "Bacterial small subunit ribosomal RNA", at positions 30 to 507 of the family's 1533-position model. The record is from RNAcentral.